Molecule: ribosomal RNA, 505 nt
Filed under: uncultured bacterium
Lineage: Bacteria
Description: partial 16S ribosomal RNA
Rfam family: Bacterial small subunit ribosomal RNA
Source: RNAcentral
GACGAACGCUGGCGGCGUGCCUAAUACAUGCAAGUAGAACGCACAGUUUAUACCGUAGCUUGCUACACCAUAAACUGUGAGUUGCGAACGGGUGAGUAACGCGUAGGUAACCUGCCUGGUAGCGGGGGAUAACUAUUGGAAACGAUAGCUAAUACCGCAUAAUAUUGAUUAUUGCAUGAUAAUUGAUUGAAAGAUGCUAUUGCAUCACUACCAGAUGGACCUGCGUUGUAUUAGCUAGUAGGUGAGGUAACGGCUCACCUAGGCGACGAUACAUAGCCGACCUGAGAGGGUGAUCGGCCACACUGGGACUGAGACACGGCCCAGACUCCUACGGGAGGCAGCAGUAGGGAAUCUUCGGCAAUGGACGAAAGUCUGACCGAGCAACGCCGCGUGAGUGAAGAAGGGUUUCGGAUCGUAAAGCUCUGUUGUAAGAGAAGAACGGGUGUGAAAGUGGAAAGUUCACACUGUGACGGUAUCUUACCAGAAAGGGACGGCUAACUACGUG